AGCAAAUAAAACUUUAAAUAUACUUUACACAACAAAGAAGAAGUUUUUUUGAUUUUUCUCAAGGUAGUUGAAGAUUUGAAUGAGCACUUGAGAGGUUGGUGAACUUGAAAUGAAAGCUUCUUUUGCUUGAAGAGUGCUUUUUCCUUAGGGCUGAAAUGAAUGCUUGAAAACUUAUAUAUAUAUUUUUUUUCUCCUUCAAGUGCCUUUAUAUCUUCAAUGGAUGCUAGAGAGUGAUCUGGGCA
RNAcentral lists this long non-coding RNA (242 nucleotides) under Elaeis guineensis (African oil palm). RNAcentral's name for it is "long non-coding RNA (EGUI_LNC073294)". The record is from RNAcentral. Lineage: Eukaryota; Viridiplantae; Streptophyta; Magnoliopsida; Arecales; Arecaceae.